CAGUGGGUAAGGGCACUUGCCUAAGCAAGAGGACCUGAGUUCAAGUCUCCAGAACCCAUGUAAAAGCCAGGCGUGGCCAAGUGUGUUUGUAACCCAGCAUUCUGAGAGGCAGACACAGGCACAUCCUAGAAGCUCAUUGGCCAGAUAGUUUAACCCAGAUGGCAAGCUCCAGGUUCAGUGAGAGAGUCCGUGAAGGGAGUGAGGCUGAGGGUGGUAGAGACUCAACCAUCCUCUGACUUCCAUGUGUGCUCAUGUGUGCGUGUACAGCUACAUGUGGAGACACACAGAUGCCCAGAUGCACAGGCACACACAAUGAAUUCAUGAGGGAAUAAAUAAGUGAAUUUACAGGAUUAUGAUCUGUUACUGCCCCCAAGUCUGCCUCGGUCAUUGGGGGAGGUUCUAUUGGCAUUUUUGAGCCAUGGAAUUCUCUGUUGUUGAGAGUUUCCUAUGCAAUGUAAACACUUAGAAACCUUCCUGGGCACAACCCUUCAGAGACCAAAAGCACCCAUGGCUUGCAGUUGCGCAAACCAAAAGUACACUGAGACUUGUCCAAGUGUUCCCUGGACAGGACGUGGGGAACAAACUUGGCCCUGGCCAAGAGACAAUGGCUGUAACAACAGCAAAUGGCUGUAAGCAGGUGACAUGACUUCUGGAGUUGAUGACCACUUCACUCAGCAUCUGUCUGGUCCCUGGAAACACCAGCUGGGAGAGGCAUGGCGCUCUCUGCUGAGGGGCCAGGCAGGAUAGAGCAUGCUACAUGUCCUGAAAAGAAACCUGAGCUGAGUUCAACUGCCUGCUUCAGAUGAGGUGUCAUGCAGCCUAGCUUGCCCUCCUUCCUGUGUAACUGGCAAUGACCUUGAAUUCCUGAUUCUCCUGUUCCCAUCUCCCGAGUCCUGGGGACACAGACUUUCAUGAUCCCGAGGAGAGACAAAUUACUGACUCCAAGGAGCUUCGCCAGCAGAAAGAUGGCACUCGGUGGCCUUCACCGAUGGGUUUCCAGUCUGUUCUGGGAUGCAAAGAGCAGAACUGAGACAUCUUCAGACAUCCAUCUGCCCUGAUGGCAUGGCUAGUUGGUUCUUGCUGUGACGAGAGUGAAACUGUCUUUUGAAACACCUGUUCUUCAAGCUCCAUGGCUGUGUGGGACUCCUUAGAUGCUGAGGUAAGAAUAAAAAACAAACAGAAUCCUCUUUUUUUGGAGCGGGGGGACAGGUUCUUACUCUACAGUCCAGUCUGCCCUUUGUAUGACUCAGUUUGUGUAGACCCUUGAACUCAUGACAAUCCAGAAUGGUCAGUCAAGCUCCUGGAUGCCUGAUUGCCUCCCCAGACUCCAGAACACAGCUUUGCUGACUAGCCGCAUGCCCCAACUCUUCAGAUAUUUCUGGGGAGUUUUUGCACUGACUCCUGGAGACACUUGACAUUAACUCUGUCCAUUUGCCUUCAAGUUUCACAUGCAGAAAAGGGAAACAUGCGUUUUCUAGCAGACUAGAACAGUCCUGAGUGUUUCCUGUGAAUGUCUCUGUGUGGUGUACCACAGGUCUGUCAGAGUGGGAGGAAACAAAGGGCUUGGACUCAAACAGGACUUCCGGAAUGUUCUUUCAGACGAGUUGUGCUUGGUCCAAACUGAAACUUGGAUGGGUUUAUUUUUUUCACCUGUGAGUUGAGACUGUCGCUGUUUCUUGUGUUCUCACAGGACGUAAUUAGUCGCAUUUCCCACUGCUGUGACAAAAUGCCCGAGGGCAGCGAUGUGAGGAAGCUAGAAGGUUUAUUUUGGCUCAGGAUUUGAGGGUAGAGCCCAUCAUGGUGGGAAACACACCAUGGCAGGGAUGUGAAGCUGCUGGUUGCCUUCAUCCAGUGAGGAAGCAGAAACCGAUGCCAGUGCUCAGCUCCCACCUACUUUUUACUCCUCAGUGUGUAGAGCAGUGUCGCCCACAAUCAGGGCUGCUCUUCCUUCUUCCCUUAGCCCUCACAGACUUGCCCAGAGAUGUGUCUUCCAAACCCAGCCAUUUUGACAGUAAGUAUUAACUAUCGCAGGGACUAAAAUCCCCCCCACCCCCUGAAAGGACUAUUAAGUAAGCAUCAGGCAUGAUACCACUCACCUGUAUCCUGUAUCCCAACCCUUAAGAGACUGGGGCAGCAGGAGGGUUGUGAGUUCAAGGCCAGCCUAGGUCACUUGGAGAAACCCUAUCUCAAAGAAACAAAACAAAACAAAACAAAACAAAACAACAACAAAAACCCCGGGGGCUGGAGGUUUGCCUCAGAGUUAAGAACAUGUGCUGCUCUUCCAGGGGAGCUGGAUUCAAUUUCCAGCACCUCUAUGGUGCUUCAUAACUCUGAUAACUGCAGCCUCAAGGGAUCUGAAGCCCUCUUCUGACCUUCCUGAGCACCAGACAUAUAGGAGGUGCACAUACAUAUAUGUAGGCAGAAACACACACGUAAGAUAAUAAAACAAAUGUUAAAAAGUUAAAAAAAAAAACCAAAGAGUUAGCAAAACCCAGACAAAAAAGUCAUAAUCAGGAUAGCUGAACAGGCUGUGAGUUUCAUCUCUCUGCCCUCAGCAAGAUAUCCUAAGGGAGAAACAGCAAGGACGACAGGGUGUGAUAAGAUGAAAUAAUCAUAUUUUGCACUUAAGUAAAAAACAGUUUUAGAUCAUAGAUCUUCUUCCUACUUGCUGUGCAGUGUUGGGCAGGUUUCAUACUUGCUAAGGUUUUCAUUUUCAUAUUCAAGGCUAAAGGGUUAGAUAGACGAAUCAAUGGUCGAAUCAAAGGACGGGAGUUUGGUUCCAAGAACUUGAGGGUAGCUCAUUUCCAUAGGAACAGGGAUCUGAUGCCCUCUUCUGGUCUCUAUGGGCACUGCACUCAGGUACACACACACACACACACACACACACACACAUUUAAAAAGAAAAUAAGGUCAUUGCACAACACAGUUAAGGACAGUUACUUGUAAGUUAAUAUGAGGGUUAAAUGAAGAUGAUAUUUAUGAAGUUCCUAGAAAAUAUCUUACACAGAUCAAAAAGACCAAGAAGAUGAAAUUGCUUCUGUUUGAAUUAUAGUUUAACUACUUACUCAUAAAAAUGACUAAUAUUUUCACGUUAACACAAGUGAAACUUCUGUGUAGAGAUGUAUUGAUUUCUCUAAAGCUCUACUCUAUAAAGAACGCUCUGAAGACAGGGAUGGGAUUGUGGGCAGUGUUUGGUAUCCUGGCUUAGAGUUGACCCUAUGCUAUGUACUCUGGAAGUGAACACUUCUUUAUUGUUUUUAGUGGUGCUGAGAAUCUGGAAUUUCCAGUCCAGAGAGACGCCUCGGUGACUAAAAGUGUAUACUGUGUUUGUAGAAGAUCUCAACACGUACAUCAGGUAGUUCACAACUGUCUACAGCUUCCGCUCAAGGGAAAUCUGCUAUUCUCUUUGGCUUCUCCAAGAAAAUGAAUGCAUUGCAUAGAUACAACACACACACACACACACACACACACACACACACACUCAUAUGUACGUUUAAUUUUUUAACUAAUUAAAGUUUAUGUGCAUGUGAGUUUUGACCGCAUGUAUGUUUGUGAUUGGUCCAAGCUCUGCUGGAGGCUGUUGCAUUGCUGUACUUAGAUUAUCGACGGGAUGAUAAAGACAGUGGUCACACCUGCCAAUUCCAAGGACACAACACACAAUGCAGCCCUUCCUUUUUGGCUGUGCCCCCAGGAGAGCUCACAUAACCUCUCAGAGUCCUCCAAAGUUGCUUUCUCAGGCAUUUUAUCAGCGGUAAGAAAAGUAACUGUAUCUUGGGUAUUCUGAGC
This 3786-nucleotide small RNA is filed under the name Rattus norvegicus (Norway rat). Its description in RNAcentral is "uncharacterized LOC102549861". Lineage: Eukaryota; Metazoa; Chordata; Mammalia; Rodentia; Muridae. The record is from RNAcentral.